Molecule: ribosomal RNA, 497 nt
Filed under: uncultured bacterium
Lineage: Bacteria
Description: partial 16S ribosomal RNA
Rfam family: Bacterial small subunit ribosomal RNA
Source: RNAcentral
GAUGAACGCUGGCGGCGUGCCUAAUACAUGCAAGUCGGGCGAACGGACGAGAAGCUUGCUUCUCUGAUGUUAGCGGCGGACGGGUGAGUAACACGUGGAUAACCUACCUAUAAGACUGGGAUAACUUCGGGAAACCGGAGCUAAUACCGGAUAAUCUUUUGAACCGCAUGGUUCAAAAGUGAAAGACGGUCUUGCUGUCACUUAUCGAUGGAUCCGCGCUGCAUUAGCUAGUUGGUAAGGUAACGGCUUACCAAGGCAACGAUGCAUAGCCGACCUGAGAGGGUGAUCGGACACACUGGAACUGAGACACGGUCAAGACUCCUACGGGAGGCAGCAGUAGGGAAUCUUCCGCAAUGGGCGAAAGCCUGACGGAGCAACGCCGCGUGAGUGAUGAAGGUCUUCGGAUCGUAAAACUCUGUUAUUAGGGAAGAACAUAUGUGUAAGUAACUGUGCACAUCUUGACGGUACCUAAUCAGAAAGCCACGGCUAACUACGUG